This 472-nucleotide ribosomal RNA is filed under the name uncultured bacterium. Its description in RNAcentral is "bacterial SSU rRNA". It matches the Rfam family "Bacterial small subunit ribosomal RNA", at positions 355 to 825 of the family's 1533-position model. The record is from RNAcentral.
UGGGGAAUUUUGGACAAUGGGGGCAACCCUGAUCCAGCAAUGCCGCGUGAGUGAAGAAGGCCUUCGGGUUGUAAAGCUCUUUUGUCAGGGAAGAAACGGUAGUAGCGAAUAACUAUUACUAAUGACGGUACCUGAAGAAUAAGCACCGGCUAACUACGUGCCAGCAGCCGCGGUAAUACGUAGGGUGCAAGCGUUAAUCGGAAUUACUGGGCGUAAAGCGUGCGCAGGCGGUUGUGUAAGUCAGAUGUGAAAUCCCCGGGCUCAACCUGGGAAUUGCAUUUGAGACUGCACGGCUAGAGUGUGUCAGAGGGGGGUAGAAUUCCACGUGUAGCAGUGAAAUGCGUAGAUAUGUGGAGGAAUACCGAAGGCGAAGGCAGCCCCCUGGGAUAACACUGACGCUCAUGCACGAAAGCGUGGGGAGCAAACAGGAUUAGAUACCCAAGUAGUCCCUGAGCGGGCUGGCAAGGCGCAU